CCCACUCUAUAACAAAACCAUCAUGAAACUAGACAUCCAUAGUUGCAUCACUACUUAGUGUCUCCUACUUCACCACAGAGCACAUCAGACCAAUGAGAAGCCAUGAUAAUCAGUGUCCGGCCAUUGCAACUGCAUCGUCUUUGGCAUGGUAAUGAAGAGGCACAAGGUAAGAGAGAGGACUUUCUAAACACUCAUUCUCCGCUCGACUUAAGGGUGGAUGAGGAGCCUAGCAAUUUUAUUGCCCAGUGCAGGUUUGAGAUCAGUGAUGAUCAGUGAUGUGGUCUUGUCCCCAACUAUUUUGCUACGCUAAUGUACGACAGAUGGAGCUCUUGUACAGUGACCAUCCAUUUUCAAUGCUCCUAAUGCUUCCCAUGCCUAUAUUUUCUGUCAACGUGACAAAAAGGAUAUUGGUUAU
RNAcentral lists this long non-coding RNA (415 nucleotides) under Oryza brachyantha (malo sina). RNAcentral describes it as "long non-coding RNA (OBRA_LNC002950)". The record is from RNAcentral. Lineage: Eukaryota; Viridiplantae; Streptophyta; Magnoliopsida; Poales; Poaceae.